Molecule: ribosomal RNA, 464 nt
Filed under: Salmonella enterica
Lineage: Bacteria; Pseudomonadati; Pseudomonadota; Gammaproteobacteria; Enterobacterales; Enterobacteriaceae
Description: bacterial SSU rRNA
Rfam family: Bacterial small subunit ribosomal RNA
Source: RNAcentral
AAAUUGAAGAGUUUGAUCAUGGCUCAGAUUGAACGCUGGCGGCAGGCCUAACACAUGCAAGUCGAACGGUAGCACAGAGAGCUUGCUCUCGGGUGACGAGUGGCGGACGGGUGAGUAAUGUCUGGGAAACUGCCUGAUGGAGGGGGAUAACUACUGGAAACGGUGGCUAAUACCGCAUAACGUCGCAAGACCAAAGAGGGGGACCUUCGGGCCUCUUGCCAUCAGAUGUGCCCAGAUGGGAUUAGCUUGUUGGUGGGGUAACGGCUCACCAAGGCGACGAUCCCUAGCUGGUCUGAGAGGAUGACCAGCCACACUGGAACUGAGACACGGUCCAGACUCCUACGGGAGGCAGCAGUGGGGAAUAUUGCACAAUGGGCGCAAGCCUGAUGCAGCCAUGCCGCGUGUAUGAAGAAGGCCUUCGGGUUGUAAAGUACUUUCAGCGGGGAGGAAGGGAGUGAGGUUAA